CGGAAUGUCUCGGCUGCGCCUGCGCAGGAUCUGUCUUCUGUCUUCACCCCCUUCCUCCUCUCAGCGUCCCCGCUCCUUGCGUGGCUGUUCCUUCGCUAGUUCGGUUGUGGUAGCUGCCCCGCACCGUCUGAGAAGAGUCUCUCACCAUGACUCACCACCAUCCUCCCCUGAACAAUGGCCUGUGGGCUCCAUCACUCACUCUUGCUGACACACCGGACUGCAAAGAGCUGAUUCUAACCUCUGAUUGCAUGAAAGUAACUCUGGGAAGGACCUAGAGAGGCCAGGAGGAGAGACACCUUGGGGGACUAAUGAGAGGCUUCCAAGAAGAGGAAAGAGUCAGACUCUGGCCUCUGAACAUCUCAUACCUAUGGUUGUCAACAUGGCUGCCCCUAGAAUCAGAAAGAUUUGUCAACAUCAGGAUUGUUUACUCCUUACCUACUGACUCAGAAUCUUGCAGAGGAUGGGAUGGGCACCUGGACUUUUCGAAAGCUCUCCAUGAAACUCUGAAGCAGCUGGUGCUGGAGGUCCAAGAUCUGAGCCAACCCAGAUCUGCUCCACUGCCUGUAUAGGAGAUGCCCAUUCGAGGGCAGUCCCCACUUCAAAAGGAAAGAAAAGGCCUUCUGAAGCCAGAAUCUCUCAAAACAAUGGGGUCCAGACCUCAGCCAGGUCCUCUGAGGGCAGCGGAUCUCCUGUUUCUAGCUCCUCCAAGCUUGCACGCAUGUGUCACCCUGCACUGCCAGCACCCCCCUCCCCCCCAAGAGGCAUCAUUCCCAGAGCCACAAGUCUAUGGAGAUCCUGACUGGCAAUACCUCUGUCAUCUAGCGGCUGACAGACACAAUACCAGAAACAGUGCACUUAUUAUCACUGGAGAAAAAAAAAAAAUUGAAUGAGAUUUCGAAUAACCACGGAAUGGCUCACACAGUGCUCAGGAAUUCAUUAUCAAAGUUGGCUCCGCUCCUCUCAGACGUGCCUUUGGCACUCUUGGUUCUGAAACUUGCACUCCUAGAUGGAGGCUGGGGCUGCAGAGAGCAGGCACCCGAGAUGACGUGGGGAAGGGAAGGGUUCAGAAGUGGGCUGGGUGGUGGUUGCCUAGGGGAAAAGCACGAUAUCCACUGGAAUUGUUCAGUUACAAUGGCAGAGUCUGUGUGGUUUCAGAAAAAAAAGGAUAUUUCUGAGCAUUGAUGAAAGCACCCAGAGUUAUAGCUAAGGAAUCUUUCUCCAGCUCCCGGUUCUGCUUUCCUCUUCGGGGGCUUCGAUCUUGGCCAGGCCCACCCAAUAUGGCGGCAGAGACAGUCCCUGUGGCUCCAGGUGGAUGGGCUGCCAGCAUAGCCUCUCCAGGAAAGCACUUCUCUUUGUCCUAGAACAUCCAGCAUACGGCUGAGGGUGGGAUCUCAUUGGCAGCUGCGUCUUCUAGACAUUUCGGAGCAAAGCACAGUGGCUGGGCCUGGAGCUGAAAGGAAAGUUCAGCUCCACUCAAACCACAUGAAUUGGCAGGAUGGCAAUGGCUUCUUAAGGGAAACUUAAGGUGCUGUCAUAAAAAGUCGGGGGAGCAGAUGCUGGGAAGGCAUGCAGGAACUCUUCCCAGACACCAUAGCAGGAAUGAAAAGUG
Herpailurus yagouaroundi (jaguarundi) is the source of this 1609-nucleotide long non-coding RNA. RefSeq lists it as uncharacterized. The record is from RefSeq and is a predicted model, not a curated record. NCBI's taxonomy places the organism in Eukaryota, Metazoa, Chordata, Mammalia, Carnivora, Felidae. The transcript is spliced from 3 exons.